CAACAUAUAAAUUAAAAUUUUAUUCCCACAAGGAAUAUCAAAAUAAUUAAAAAUUUAAGAAUUAAAAAAAAACUGGACUCAAUUUUUAUAAGAUAAACUUUAAAUACCACCCCAUAGUUUUGCAUCUUAAAUACCAUCCCUAUGAUUUAAAGUGUAUCAAUUUAAUACCUUCUGAUUUCAUUUUUCUUUUUCGUUAGCCACUUUAUUAACUUAUCGUUAAAUCAUACAUUAAAAACGUGAGAUGUCUUAUCUAUAGUUUAUCGAAUAUUUAUUUUAGUGAAGAGGAUAAUAAAAAAAAUUAAAAUAAAAUUAUAGAGUACAAAAAUAAUAUACCUUAAAUCAUGAGAUAGUAAAGUAAGAAAGUGUAAAACCACAAAAAAGUGGUAUUAAAAGG
RNAcentral lists this long non-coding RNA (394 nucleotides) under Ananas comosus (pineapple). RNAcentral describes it as "long non-coding RNA (ACOM_LNC006074)". The record is from RNAcentral. Lineage: Eukaryota; Viridiplantae; Streptophyta; Magnoliopsida; Poales; Bromeliaceae.